AGAGUUUGAUCCUGGCUCAGGAUGAAUUCUAGCUACAGGCUUAACACAUGCAAGUCGAGGGGCAGCGGGAAGUCAGCUUGCUGACUUUGCCGGCGACCGGCGCACGGGUGCGUAACGCGUAUCCAAUCUACCCAUAGCUCGGGGAUAGCCUUCUGAAAGGAAGAUUAAUACCCGAUGGUCUUGCGGCAGGGCAUCCUGUUGUAAGUAAAGAUUUAUCGGCGAUGGAUGAGGAUGCGACUGAUUAGAUAGUUGGCGGGGUAACGGCCCACCAAGUCUUCGAUCAGUAGGGGUUCUGAGAGGAAGGUCCCCCACACUGGAACUGAGACACGGUCCAGACUCCUACGGGAGGCAGCAGUGAGGAAUAUUGGUCAAUGGGCGUAAGCCUGAACCAGCCAAGUAGCGUGUAGGACGACUGCCCUAUGGGUUGUAAACUACUUUUGUUCGGGAAUAACUGACGAUACGUGUAUUGUUUUGCAUGUACCUUAUGAAUAAUGACCGGCUAAUUCCGUGCCAGCAGCCGCGGUAAUACGGAAGGUCAGGGCGUUAUCCGGAUUUAUUGGGUUUAAAGGGAGCGUAGGCGGUUGGUUAAGCGUGUUGUGAAAUGUCCCGGCCCAACCGGGGAUGUGCAACGCGAACUGGCUGACUUGAGUGCGUACGAGGUAUGCGGAAUUCGUCGUGUAGCGGUGAAAUGCUUAGAUAUGACGAAGAACUCCGAUUGCGAAGGCAGCAUGCCAGGCCGCUACUGACGCUGAAGCUCGAAGGUGCGGGUAUCGAACAGGAUUAGGUACCCUGGUAGUCCGCACGGUAAACGAUGAAUGCCCGCUGUUUGCGAUAUACUGUGAGCGGCCAAACGAAAAAGCGUUAAGCAUCCCACCUGGGGAGUACGCCGGCAACGGUGAAACUCAAAGGAAUUGACGGGGGCCCGCACAAGCGGAGGAACAUGUGGUUUAAUUCGAUGAUACGCGAGGAACCUUACCCGGGCUUGAAUUGCAGAGGAACAAUCCAGAGAUGGUGCGGCCCUUCGGGGCCUCUGUGAAGGUGCUGCAUGGUUGUCGUCAGCUCGUGCCGUGAGGUGUCGGCUUAAGUGCCAUAACGAGCGCAACCCCUGUUGCCAGUUGCCAUCCUUUAGUUGGGCACUCUGGCGAGACUGCCACCGUAAGGUGUGAGGAAGGUGGGGAUGACGUCAAAUCAGCACGGCCCUUACGUCCGGGGCUACACACGUGUUACAAUGGGUGAUACAGAGAGUCGUGCAUGCGCAAGUAUGUUCCAAUCUUUAAAGUCAUCCUCAGUUCGGACUGGGGUCUGCAACCCGACCCCACGAAGCUGGAUUCGCUAGUAAUCGCGCAUCAGCCAUGGCGCGGUGAAUACGUUCCCGGGCCUUGCACUCACCGCCCG
RNAcentral lists this ribosomal RNA (1395 nucleotides) under uncultured bacterium. RNAcentral describes it as "bacterial SSU rRNA". It matches the Rfam family "Bacterial small subunit ribosomal RNA". The record is from RNAcentral.